GAAAAGUUAGUUAAUCAUAACAUAAAAUUGUCAAUUUUAAAUUACUAAUCUAUUAGUACUUUUCA
Molecule: transfer RNA, 65 nt
Filed under: Euprymna berryi
Lineage: Eukaryota; Metazoa; Mollusca; Cephalopoda; Sepiida; Sepiolidae
Description: tRNA-Asp
Source: RNAcentral